RNAcentral lists this non-coding RNA (28 nucleotides) under Cricetulus griseus (Chinese hamster). The record is from RNAcentral. Lineage: Eukaryota; Metazoa; Chordata; Mammalia; Rodentia; Cricetidae.
GGUAGUGAGUUAUCUCAAUUGAUUGUUC